CGCCUCUUGCUAACAAAGGAAGUACUAGAGGUCCCGCCUGCCCUGUGACCACAAAGUUUAACGGCCGCGGUAUCCUGACCGUGCGAAGGUAGCGUAAUCAUUUGUCUUUUAAAUAGAGACCUGUAUGAAUGGCAUAACGAGGGUUUAACUGUCUCCUUCCCCCAGUCAAUGAAAUUGAUCUGCCCGUGCAGAAGCGGACAUAAAUACAUAAGACGAGAAGACCCUAUGGAGCUUUAGACAAAAGAUCAAACAUGUAAAGAAACCAAAACAACCAAAAGGAACACGAAGGCCACAAAACCCAAC
RNAcentral lists this ribosomal RNA (303 nucleotides) under Anguilla rostrata (American eel). Its description in RNAcentral is "partial large subunit ribosomal RNA". It matches the Rfam family "Bacterial large subunit ribosomal RNA", at positions 1816 to 2168 of the family's 2925-position model. The record is from RNAcentral. Lineage: Eukaryota; Metazoa; Chordata; Actinopteri; Anguilliformes; Anguillidae.